This 168-nucleotide ribosomal RNA is filed under the name Mucor sp. CCF3774. RNAcentral describes it as "5.8S ribosomal RNA". The stretch from base 55 to 168 matches the Rfam family "5.8S ribosomal RNA", at positions 1 to 115 of the family's 154-position model. Rfam says of the family: 5.8S ribosomal RNA (5.8S rRNA) is a component of the large subunit of the eukaryotic ribosome. The record is from RNAcentral. Lineage: Eukaryota; Fungi; Mucoromycota; Mucoromycetes; Mucorales; Mucoraceae.
ACCAAAAGAAUUCAGAAUUAAUAUUGUAACAUAGACGUAAAAAAUCUAUAAAACAACUUUUAACAACGGAUCUCUUGGUUCUCGCAUCGAUGAAGAACGUAGCAAAGUGCGAUAACUAGUGUGAAUUGCAUAUUCAGUGAAUCAUCGAGUCUUUGAACGCAACUUGCG